GAUGAACGCUGGCGGCGUGCCUAAUACAUGCAAGUCGAGCGAACGGACGAGAAGCUUGCUUCUCUGAUGUUAGCGGCGGACGGGUGAGUAACACGUGGAUAACCUACCUAUAAGACUGGGAUAACUUCGGGAAACCGGAGCUAAUACCGGAUAAUAUUUUGAACCGCAUGGUUCAAAAGUGAAAGACGGUCUUGCUGUCACUUAUAGAUGGAUCCGCGCUGCAUUAGCUAGUUGGUAAGGUAACGGCUUACCAAGGCAACGAUGCAUAGCCGACCUGAGAGGGUGAUCGGCCACACUGGAACUGAGACACGGUCCAGACUCCUACGGGAGGCAGCAGUAGGGAAUCUUCCGCAAUGGGCGAAAGCCUGACGGAGCAACGCCGCGUGAGUGAUGAAGGUCUUCGGAUCGUAAAACUCUGUUAUUAGGGAAGAACAAAUGUGUAAGUAACUAUGCACGUCUUGACGGUACCUAGUCAGAAAGCCACGGCUAGCUACGUG
RNAcentral lists this ribosomal RNA (497 nucleotides) under uncultured bacterium. RNAcentral describes it as "partial 16S ribosomal RNA". It matches the Rfam family "Bacterial small subunit ribosomal RNA", at positions 28 to 507 of the family's 1533-position model. The record is from RNAcentral.